RNAcentral lists this long non-coding RNA (201 nucleotides) under Elaeis guineensis (African oil palm). RNAcentral describes it as "long non-coding RNA (EGUI_LNC052319)". Lineage: Eukaryota; Viridiplantae; Streptophyta; Magnoliopsida; Arecales; Arecaceae. The record is from RNAcentral.
CAUAUGAUAGAUUUAGAAAAGCUCAUCUCUUGUUUCUUCACUAAAAAACCAGCAAGCAAUCUUGAGAAAGAAUGAAGAAGAUGAGAGAACUCCUUCACUCAAAUCAGGACCUCGAAACUUGGUGCAUAGAAGGAAGAAGACGACCAACUUUUGGGCAUGGAAACCAAAGAUGCCCAAACUCUUGGGCAUGGAGGCAUGAGG